RNAcentral lists this small RNA (408 nucleotides) under Histoplasma capsulatum var. duboisii H88. RNAcentral's name for it is "Histoplasma capsulatum H88 hypothetical RNA". The record is from RNAcentral. Lineage: Eukaryota; Fungi; Ascomycota; Eurotiomycetes; Onygenales; Ajellomycetaceae.
AACAAAUCGACCAAGUUAAGGACGCCCCUAGUGUCAAUACGCGCAUUGAAAACACAAUCGAACUACAGCCGAAAGGCUACAGGAUAUAGGCAAGCUUGUCGAGAAAACGCUAUAACGAACGCAGUCAUCUCAGAGGGUAUCUAGAGUGCGAUCCGAGCUUCGGAUGAAUGCGCAUAGGAAAUUCGAAGGUUUCACACCGUUUUGGGCAAAGGUGGAUGGAUAUACGCAUUCCCCCACUCAAGUUCAGAAAAGGGAAAUCGACAUAUCUUCAUUUACGAAAUGUAAAUGGCCGUCUGUCAAGUUCAAACUGGAGAUACCAAGGGCAGAGUUACAGAGAAUAACAACAACUCUGCCACUCCUUAGGGUAAGAAUUAUAAAAUCAAGACUCGGAGCAGUAGCAAGAACAGG